Molecule: ribosomal RNA, 292 nt
Filed under: uncultured bacterium
Lineage: Bacteria
Description: partial 16S ribosomal RNA
Rfam family: Bacterial small subunit ribosomal RNA
Source: RNAcentral
GUGUCAGCCGCCGCGGUAAUACGGAGGAUCCAAGCGUUAUCCGGAUUUAUUGGGUUUAAAGGGUGCGUAGGCGGCUUAUUAAGUCAGGGGUGAAAGACGGCAGCUCAACUGUCGCAGUGCCUUUGAUACUGAUGAGCUUGAAUCUACCUGAGGUAGGCGGAAUGUGACAAGUAGCGGUGAAAUGCAUAGAUAUGUCACAGAACACCAAUUGCGAAGGCAGCUUACUAAAGUAAAAUUGACGCUGAGGCACGAAAGCGUGGGGAUCAAACAGGAUUAGAUACCCCCGUAGUCC